Molecule: ribosomal RNA, 429 nt
Filed under: Chloroflexota bacterium
Lineage: Bacteria; Bacillati; Chloroflexota
Description: Chloroflexi bacterium partial 16S ribosomal RNA
Rfam family: Bacterial small subunit ribosomal RNA
Source: RNAcentral
UGGGGAAUAUUGCACAAUGGGCGCAAGACUGAUGCAGCCAUGCUGCGUGUGUGAAGAAGGCCUUCGGGUUGUAAAGCACUUUCAGCGGGGAGGAAGGCGAUAAGGUUAAUAACCUUGUCGAUUGACGUUACCCGCAGAAGAAGCACCGGCUAACUCCGUGCCAGCAGCCGCGGUAAUACGGAGGGUGCAAGCGUUAAUCGGAAUUACUGGGCGUAAAGCGCACGCAGGCGGUCUGUCAAGUCGGAUGUGAAAUCCCCGGGCUCAACCUGUGAACUGCAUUCGAAACUGGCAGGCUAGAGUCUUGUAUAGGGGGUUAGAAUUCCAGGUGUAGCGGUGAAAUGCGUAGAGAUCUGGAGGAAUACCGGUGGCGAAGGCGGCCCCCUGGACAAAGACUGACGCUCAGGUGCGAAAGCGUGGGGAGCAAACAGG